AACGAACGCUGGCGGCAGGCUUAACACAUGCAAGUCGAACGCCCCGCAAGGGGAGUGGCAGACGGGUGAGUAACGCGUGGGAAUCUACCCUUUUCUACGGAACAACUGAGGGAAACUUCAGCUAAUACCGUAUACGGCCGAGAGGCGAAAGAUUUAUCGGAGAAGGAUGAGCCCGCGUUGGAUUAGCUAGUUGGUGGGGUAAAGGCCUACCAAGGCGACGAUCCAUAGCUGGUCUGAGAGGAUGAUCAGCCACACUGGGACUGAGACACGGCCCAGACUCCUACGGGAGGCAGCAGUGGGGAAUAGUGGACAAUGGGCGCAAGCCUGAUCCAGCCAUGCCGCGUGAGUGAUGAAGGCCCUAGGGUUGUAAAGCUCUUUCACCGGUGAAGAUAAUGACGGUAACCGGAGAAGAAGCCCCGGCUAACUUCGUG
RNAcentral lists this ribosomal RNA (431 nucleotides) under uncultured Phyllobacterium sp. Its description in RNAcentral is "bacterial SSU rRNA". It matches the Rfam family "Bacterial small subunit ribosomal RNA", at positions 29 to 507 of the family's 1533-position model. The record is from RNAcentral. Lineage: Bacteria; Pseudomonadati; Pseudomonadota; Alphaproteobacteria; Hyphomicrobiales; Phyllobacteriaceae.